GGGCCCGUAGUUUAACCUGGAUAGAAUGAGCGGCUUCGGACCGCUAGACGCCGGUCCAAAUCCGGCCGGGCUCG
This 74-nucleotide transfer RNA is filed under the name Candidatus Woesearchaeota archaeon. Its description in RNAcentral is "tRNA-Arg". It matches the Rfam family "tRNA". From Rfam's summary of the family: Transfer RNA (tRNA) molecules are approximately 80 nucleotides in length. Their secondary structure includes four short double-helical elements and three loops (D, anti-codon, and T loops). Lineage: Archaea; Nanobdellati; Candidatus Woesearchaeota. The record is from RNAcentral.